RNAcentral lists this ribosomal RNA (482 nucleotides) under uncultured bacterium. Its description in RNAcentral is "partial 16S ribosomal RNA". It matches the Rfam family "Bacterial small subunit ribosomal RNA", at positions 30 to 507 of the family's 1533-position model. The record is from RNAcentral.
AUUGAACGCUGGCGGCAUGCCUUACACAUGCGAGUCGAACGGUAACGGGCCUUCGGGUGCCGACGAGUGGCGCACGGGUGAGUAAUACAUCGGAACGUGCCCGAUCGUGGGGGAUAACGAGGCGAAAGCUUUGCUAAUACCGCAUACGAUCUACGGAUGAAAGCAGGGGACCGCAAGGCCUUGCGCGGACGGAGCGGCCGAUGGCAGAUUGGGUAGUUGGUGGGAUAAAAGCUUACCAAGCCGACGAUCUGUAGCUGGUCUGAGAGGAUGAUCAGCCACACUGGGACUGAGACACGGCCCAGACUCCUACGGGAGGCAGCAGUGGGGAAUUUUGGACAAUGGGCGCAAGCCUGAUCCAGCCAUGCCGCGUGCAGGAUGAAGGCCUUCGGGUUGUAAACUGCUUUUGUACGGAACGAAAAGCCUUCUUUUAAUACAGGAGGGUCAUGACGGUACCGUAAGAAUAAGCACCGGCUAACUACGUG